CAGAAUAUAGCAUAUCAUUUCAAUGCUUUUUACUUACACUAAAAAUAAAACAUAAGUUUAUUCUGC
Molecule: transfer RNA, 66 nt
Filed under: Pontoscolex corethrurus
Lineage: Eukaryota; Metazoa; Annelida; Clitellata; Crassiclitellata; Glossoscolecidae
Description: tRNA-Val
Source: RNAcentral